This 459-nucleotide ribosomal RNA is filed under the name uncultured bacterium. Its description in RNAcentral is "partial 16S ribosomal RNA". It matches the Rfam family "Bacterial small subunit ribosomal RNA", at positions 338 to 795 of the family's 1533-position model. The record is from RNAcentral.
CCUACGGGAGGCAGCAGGGAGGAAUAUGGGGCAAUGGGAGAGAGAAGGAAGAAGAAAAGGAGAGGGAAGGAUGACUGCCCUACGGGUUGUAACUUCUUUUAUAAAGGAAUAAAGUGAGGCACGUGUGCCUUUUUGUAUGUACUUUAUGAAUAAGGAUCGGCUAACUCCGUGCCAGCAGCCGCGGUAAUACGGAGGAUCCGAGCUUUAUCCGGAUUUAUUGGGUUUAAAGGGAGCGUAGAUGGGUUGUUAAGUCAGUUGUGAAAGUUUGCGGCUCAACCGUAAAAUUGCAAUUGAUACUGGCAGUCUUGAGUACAGUUGAGGUAGGCGGAAUUCGUGGUGUAGCGGUGAAAUGCUUAGAUAUCACGAAGAACUCCGAUUGCGAAGGCAGCUUACUAAACUGCCACUGACAUUGAUGCUCGAAAGUGUGGGUAUCAAACAGGAUUAGAUACCCGAGUAGUC